GUGACAGAAGAUGUGAUCAGAUGCUGGGCUGAAAGAAGAGCGAGUGACAGCCUAGGCUGCAGCCUUUUCAGACAGGGCUUCCUUCCUGAGCUGAGCCAGGCUCACACCAGAGAGUAUUUGCCCUUACCUUGUGUAUCAAUUUAUAUGCAUUCAAAAAUAAUAUAUUAUAUGGCUAUUCACAAAUGAACAAAGUAUAACAACAAUUGUUCUAAAAUUUUAGAUUUUAUGACCUUCCUGUAUUCUGGUCCUUUGAACAGGCAAUCCUCUGAAAUAAAAUCACAUCGCAGUUCAGACCAGCCACAUUCCAGGCACCCAGGAGCCACACAUGGCCAAUAGCUGCCACAUUGAAGUACAGCUGUGAUGUCAGUGGGGGUGGAGGGCCUGAACACCCCUUUUCUGCCACAGACUAUGGAGGAUUCACCACCAGACCAAGAAGCAACAGGCUGGACUCCAGAGUUGAACACCACACUCAUCAGACUAUGGAGGAUUCACCACCAGACUGGGAAGCAACACCUUGGGCUCAAGAGUUGGUCAUCCAUCCUUGCACAGAUAAGGAGAGGUCUCCUGAAGCUUCGGUGUGGUCUGGGGCCCUAGCUCUUUUUGUAAUGAGUUGUUUGGUAUGAGGCCCAGUCAUGAGGGCCCUUUGCGACUGAGCUCAAGGAACACAAAAAGGUCAACUUGUUUUCUUGUGAUCGUCUAUUGUUUUUCAAUAACUAAUGUGUAGGAAUAGACUGAAAUAGAGAUUUCUCCAAAACAGUGCAGGAUGAACACCUCAAGGGGGCUCACAUAACCUGUUUCAGGACUUGGUGUCUAUUUUUUGUGUCCAUGUUUAAUUGAGUUCAAAUUUAAUAUUUAAUUUUUCCUCCACAAAUUCCUCUGUCUUGAUGAAUCAGCUCUCUCUGGGCAAAGGGCAAGGGGAACCCCUUGGGCUGUCACACAACCUCUGCCUCCUGGGUUCAAGCGAUUCUCCUGCCUCAGCCUCCGGAGCAUCUGGGACUACAGGUGUGCACCACCGUGCCUGGCUAAUUUUUUGCAUUUUUAGUAGAGAUUGGGUUUAACCACGUUGGCUAGACUGGUCUCGAACUUCUGACCUCAAGUGAUCUGCCCACCUUGGCCUCCCAAAGUGCUGGGAUUACAGGUGUGCACCACUGCAUCUGGCCCUAAAUGAUUUCUUUCUAUCUCCUAUAACGGUUUGAAAUUACUUAAUGGUUGUUUCAAAUAGAAAAAAAAUAAAAAGAAUGUAGAGAAAAAGAAAAUAUAAAAAGAUAAAAAAAUUACAAGAGAAUGCAAAAUAUAUAUGUAAAUCUCGAGGUCAAAAAUGACAAAUUUGAUUUAUUUUUAAGGUUUUAUUAAAAUUAGCUUUAGUAUUGAUAAUACGCUAUUACCAAAGUAAAAGUUGAUUUUCUCUUGAACAAAAAUUUUAUGUAUUAUUAAUAUGACAGCAAAGUACUUCUGUUCACCUUUUGAAUAUAUUCAAAAAGACCGAGAGUGAAAAAGAGACAGAAUUUUCUCAUGUUCUGGGGUGGGCCUGGCUCAGCUCAGGGAGGAAGCCCUGCCUGAAAAGGCUGCAGCUUAGGCUGUUGCUCUUUCUUCACUCAGCCCAGCACCUGAUCACAUCUUCUGUCACUCAAGGCCUGAGGGGGCGGGACCUUAAGCAUUAUCCAAUCAGGAACUCUGAGCUGGAAACCGUCCAAUCAGACACCCAGCUGGAGAGAACAGGACAACUUCUGGGUUUGGCGCGGACUUUGUCUCUUGCUGCAGCAGGAGCUCCAGGUCUCGUCUUCAGUCCUCUGUGUCCUCUGCUCCUAGAGGCCCAGCCUCUGUGGCUCUGUGUCCUGCCGGUAUUGGGAGAUCCACAGCUAAGAUGCUGGGACCUUCUGGAAGCCUAGAAAUGGUGAGGGUGCCAAUUGGACAUCCCAAGAGAGGGGAGGGACUGGUUGGAAUCAGUGGGAAGUGGCUGUGGUGGGAUUCAGGCCUCCCCGAAGUCAGCUCCACAAUCUGCGCCCUGAGGUGUCCUUGUCCAGCUCAGCCUCAGUCCCGUUCAGCCGUAAGAUGGCGGCUCCGCUGACAGGCAGGCCCCUGGGCAUCCAGUCUCUUCCCUGUUCAGUGACUGUGCACUGGCCUGGAGCCCUCUCUGGGCAGCUCUGCACCCACAGCACGGCGUCUCUCCCAGAUUGUGCAGGGACCAUGGGAGGGUCAUCAGGGGAGAAUCUUGCGUCAGGGUGCAGGUUCAUGAAUGGGAAGAGCUUUGAUCCAUGGGGUUCACAGCUUCUCUUUUCUCCUAUUAAAAAUUUGUGGGGCCAGGCACAGUGGCUCACUCCUUUAAUCCCAGCAUUUUGGGAGGCCCAGGUGGGUGGAUCACUUGGGGUAAGGGGUUGUUAGGACAACAAAGAUCCUUUUCAAAGACUCAACUUCCUGGUGAUAAGUUGUAAAAGUUGUAAAUCAACCACACCGCUUCUUCUUCCCUCUUCUCCCUUUCUCGCAAAUCGCGCAUUUACCCUAUUUGGAAAAAGUUUGGGUCUAAGUCAACCGGGAUCAGCUUAGAUUGUUUGCUAGUGUUAUAUUUAAAGCUAUUUUAUUAUUCUAGGCCAUCCGGCUGGUACGUCCUAAUUGCUUAGCUAUCCCCUUGAUGGCGUCCCUAGUGCAAUUUGUGAAUUGUUGCUGAUUGUAAUAGAUAUAGUGUAUUUAGUUAACUUUUUUUAUUUAUAGUUACCUACCAGAACAACGUGGAUUUAAAUUUUGUAGCUAUUUGAUUUUGUGCUUUAAACUUAUUUGGCACUUCUCACAGGACCUUAAUAGCAUUUACGUAAACCUGAGGAUUAAAGGAUUUAUAAGGAGUUUCCCUUGGCCUGCACUGUUUUGUUUUUACUUUUUUUAGAUUGAUGAAAUGCCAGGGUGAAUGGGUUAGCCAACUGGAUUAGAGGACAAGUACUGCUCCAAUUAUUUGGCAGCGUCCAGUAAAGGUCCUCCACAGUACAACCAUACAUUUGCUUGGGGAUGGCUACGCAUGGACUGAUGGUCAAGCUCUUGGAAAGGAUUGAGGUCUUUGCAUCCUUUUAUGCUUCCAAGGAACACCACAUUUUCCCCUUGCUGUGAGAGGCACGAAGUAAACUUGGCAUCUAGAGGUGGAAGCUGGAUUGCCCUCAGGGGCUGACUCUCAGGAAAUAGCAGAGAGAGAGCUCAGCAUGAUGGAUUAUCCGAAGCAAUGGGUUUCUGAAAGAGAGGCCCCAUACAGUCCAUAUUUGGUUGACAAGAAGACCAUCUGAGUGGAAAGGGGAUAAUCUGGGCCUCUGGCCUAUGGUGUGAACAAGCAUAAUAAUCACUUUUUUAAAAAGUCUGAACAGAAUAUUUAAUCCAUUCCAACCAGGCAUUUGCAUCUUGAUAUUUUAUCUUGAUGGCUAAGGUCUAUCUUAGAUCUCUUAUUUUUACAAUAGACACCCUAGUUUUAUUAUUAGAUGUAGGAGCAACCGGUGUGGGAUCUAGAACUGAGGCUACUGAAGAAGGGGAAGAUGGGGGAAUGAUGCAUAUUUUAAAAAUACCUAGGGGGUCUUUUCCAUUUAUGUCAAUCCCCAUACCAUAGAAGCGACUAAGGGCAGGUCUAGAGUUAGUUAAGGUGGAGGUAGUGAUAGAGAGAAGGACAGGGUUUCAUUGAUAAGGCUGACAGUUAGAAGGGGUAGUUCUUUUUGUGAAAUAGAUGAGGGGUUUUAGAUAUGCACAAACCUUUUUCAUGGAAGUCCAACUUUGCUCCUGAGUAGUUUAAAGGAAGUAGUCCCAUUUACUACAAGGUUUCCAGGCUGUAGGAGCAGAAAAUUGACGUCUUGGCUACAGGUGAUUACAACGAUGAGUGCCAGGGGUAACUAUGUCAAUUAGAGGACUGGGACAUAAAUAUUUGUGUGAAAAGGCUAGCUGUCAUUGAUUUUUUACAUUUCCAUAAUGUAUGACAGAGCAAGCAUUAAAGGCAAUGGUCUGAGGUGAGUCAGACUUAGUAACAUUAAUAAAAAAGGAGCUAGUAAGGGAAUAAGGAAAGGAAGGGAAGCAAUAUAGAAGGUAUAUGAAAAUUAAGCUUUUUUUAAACUUUAACUUAGCAGGGCUUGAUCCUAGUACGGUAACCCAUGAUUCUGAUGAGGAAUAUGUUUUCUUGACUCGGGUAUGGUGGGUCCAUUGUUUCUCGGCUGUGCAGAUGGCAGUCUCAGUAGUUAACAGCAUAAGAUAGGGUCCUUCCCAGGCUGGCUUGAGUUUUUUCUUUCCUUUCUGGCUUCUGAUGAGGACUUGGUUUUCAGGCUGGUGCUGGUGUACUGGAAAUUCUAGGGGUGGUACCUGUGUUAAAAGACUUUUAGUUUUGAGGGAAGGGAAAGUGGAAGAUAAAUUAAGUAUAUAAUUUCUGCUGCAUAUCCUGGGGCUUGAGGACCCAUGGUGAUGCCUCCCGCUCCAUUCCUGCUUAGCGCUGUCCAGGGGAUGCUGUGGCCCUGCCCCCUCUUAAGGUCUUGGCCUUCUUGUGACCUUCACUGUCCCCGCGUGUUGUGGCCUUGGGGAUGAGGGCCCUUGUGACUUAACCGGCCGCCCUCGGGCCUUAGGAAAGCUAAACAUCAUUUUAUAUUUGACAAUGAUUUUUGUAUGAUUUUAUACCAGAUAAGUUAAAUUUUACCUUUAUAUUAAUGUGCUAUUAAUGUUAAACUUAAUUUAAAUAAAAUCUUGUAGACAUUAUUUAUUCACUUUUAAUGUCUGACUAUAAGGUAAAAUUUUUAUAGACUCUUUUUAACCUUUUAUAAUUUUUGUUAAAGAGCAGGUUAGUGCUUUAAGAAAAAUCUAUUGUGCUUUUAUUUUAAUGUCCAGUUCACAGGAAAACUGGAUGAUACCCCUUUAACUUUAGCCAAUAUGUUUUCACACAGAGUUUCCUUUACAAUUAAUAUUUUAAAACUUGCUUAAACCUCUAAAACAAAAUGUUUUUUAACCUUUUAAUGUAGAUAAAAAUCCAUAUUCGUAUGCCUCCUUAUAAUCCUUUUAUUAAAAGUAUAUUUAUUUUUCUUUAUUUUUUUCUAACUCACUUUUAUUUACUUGUUUUUUAUUAUGCUUUAACUUCUAGGGUAAAUGUGCACAAUGUGCAGGUUAGUUACAUAGGUAUACAUGUGCCGUGUUGGUUUGCUGCACCCAUCAGCUUAUCAUUUACAUUAGGUAUUUCUC
RNAcentral lists this long non-coding RNA (5181 nucleotides) under Homo sapiens (human). Its description in RNAcentral is "HSALNT0257105". The record is from RNAcentral. Lineage: Eukaryota; Metazoa; Chordata; Mammalia; Primates; Hominidae.